GAUGAACGCUAGCGGCAGGCCUAAUACAUGCAAGUCGAGGGGUAGAGCUAGCUUGCUAGCUUGAGACCGGCGCACGGGUGCGUAACGCGUAUGCAACCUACCUCAAUCAGGGGGAUAGCCCGGAGAAAUCCGGAUUAACACCGCAUAAAAACACAGGGUAGCAUUACCCAAUGUUCAAAUAUUUAUAGGAUUGGGAUGGGCAUGCGUGCCAUUAGAUAGUUGGCGGGGUAACGGCCCACCAAGGCGACGAUGGCGAGGGGAUACGAGAGGAUGACCCCCCACACUUGUACUGAGACACGGACCAGACUCCUACGGGAGGCAGCAGUAAGGAAUAUUGGUCAAUGGGGGCAACCCUGAACCAGCCAUGCCGCGUGCAGGAUGACGGCCCUCCGGGUUGUAAACUGCUUUUGUACGGGAAUAAACCUUUCUUCGUGAAGAAAGCUGAAUGUACCGUAAGAAUAAGGAUCGGCUAACUCCGUGCCAGCCGCCGCCGUAA
RNAcentral lists this ribosomal RNA (496 nucleotides) under uncultured bacterium. RNAcentral describes it as "partial 16S ribosomal RNA". It matches the Rfam family "Bacterial small subunit ribosomal RNA", at positions 28 to 523 of the family's 1533-position model. The record is from RNAcentral.